CCUACGGGUGGCAGCAGUGGGGAAUAUUGGACAAUGGGGGGAACCCUGAUCCAGCCAUGCCGCGUGUGUGAAGAAGGCCCUCGGGUUGUAAAGCACUUUCAGUGAGGAAGAACGCCUGGUGGUUAAUACCCAUCAGGAAAGACAUCACUCACAGAAGAAGCACCGGCUAACUCCGUGCCAGCAGCCGCGGUAAUACGGAGGGUGCGAGCGUUAAUCGGAAUUACUGGGCGUAAAGCGCGCGUAGGUGGCUUGAUAAGCCGGUUGUGAAAGCCCCGGGCUCAACCUGGGAACGGCAUCCGGAACUGUCAAGCUAGAGUGCAGGCGAGGAAGGUAGAAUUCCCGGUGUAGCGGUGAAAUGCGUAGAGAUCGGGAGGAAUACCAGUGGCGAAGGCGGCCUUCUGGACUGACACUGACACUGAGGUGCGAAAGCGUGGGUAGCAAACAGGAUUAGAUACCCGAGUAGUC
Molecule: ribosomal RNA, 465 nt
Filed under: Vreelandella stevensii
Lineage: Bacteria; Pseudomonadati; Pseudomonadota; Gammaproteobacteria; Oceanospirillales; Halomonadaceae
Description: partial 16S ribosomal RNA
Rfam family: Bacterial small subunit ribosomal RNA
Source: RNAcentral